Cephus cinctus (wheat stem sawfly) is the source of this 1241-nucleotide long non-coding RNA. RefSeq lists it as uncharacterized. Lineage: Eukaryota; Metazoa; Arthropoda; Insecta; Hymenoptera; Cephidae. The record is from RefSeq and is a predicted model, not a curated record. The transcript is spliced from 3 exons.
UUCUCACGAAUAAUGGGAUCGAUCGAUUAAACGUUUGCAGGAUAACAAGACAAAUUGAAAGGACGAUCCAAUUCGAAGAAUCCUUGCCAACCUACGUACGACUUACAAGGCACUUGACGGUGAAUAAUUUCUACUACCUCGCGUCAUCUAGAGGCUUUAUUUUUGCACGCAGGAAGUGAGCGACACCCAGUCACUUCGGUUACGGCAGUUACGACGGUUAUGACUGUCCUCCGGUGCGGCUCGGUAACCAAGGACGAGUUUCUAAUAAGCUCCAGACACUGAAGACCCUCGGAUACUAUAGAGGCAGCACAGCUGCGUCCUCGUGGCGGACGCUUCGCGGGACAAGACUCGAGGUUGCUUUGAUCUGACAAUUAUUGAAUCGCUAGGGGUAUCUGAUUCUCGUAAAAGCCCAAGGUAGAGGGGGCUAGCUAAGGCGAGUAGAGCAUUCCCUUGAUGAGGACGAUGAUGUCAUCGAGGACGUCAUCGUCAAGGAAUAGCGCACCGAUGUAAACGGCCUUAAGGGGAUCGUGUGUCUUUGCCAGAGCGGCAGGUGCAUCAUCUUCAAGCUGUUCACGUGUCUGAAGACACGUGACGGAAAAAGAGUCAUAGAUAUACCGUAAUAAUAUCUCAAGGAAUCCUGAGACCUCGUGGAAGUGAAUUCAACCGAUUGGUUCUUGGUAAACGGGCAUAAAGAAUUGACGUUAUGGCUAAGGAUACAGAAAGAAAUAUGGAGUCCGUAGGGUCGGCGGCCGCUCCUUGGUGAGAUUCCUCGUAAAUAUUGCAAUUUAAAUAAUUGGACGUCGUAAAGAUUAUAAUUGGUGCGAACGCGAUGUGAGAAAAGAGACAGUGGUGGCUCUGAGGGUUCACUGAUGUAUUACGGCAGUGCGUGACGACGUAUGCAAAAAUUUAUAGUGUCAAUUUAAAGAAAUUUGUCAAGUCGCGUUACGCCGGCAUUGGGGUCAAGUUGAAGAAUUCAUAUCUCGCAAUGAUCAUCAAGCAGCAGUCCGGGCGAAUCGAUCAUUGAAGAAUUCGUCUAGACAAAAGUAAUAAAUUUCAAAUAAAAUAUCCCAAAAUACGUAUUAAUUCCUGUAAAUCCAAACGACUACCGCUUUCGAGAUUAUGAUAUACGAAUUAAUUCUCCGUCCUCGUAGCCGACGUUUAUACCUAAAAAUGCAUGAGACCCAAAAUGGCUUGAGGGUCUCUCGACUGGAUCAUCGAAAAUAAAAAUUGGUAGCUGCUUU